RNAcentral lists this ribosomal RNA (4172 nucleotides) under Appolonius crassus. RNAcentral describes it as "partial large subunit ribosomal RNA". It matches the Rfam family "Eukaryotic large subunit ribosomal RNA". Lineage: Eukaryota; Metazoa; Arthropoda; Insecta; Hemiptera; Rhyparochromidae. The record is from RNAcentral.
CGACCUCAGAUCAGGUGGGGCUCCCCGCCGAAUUUAAGCAUAUUAGUAAGCGGAGGAAAAGAAACUAACAAGGAUUCCCUUAGUAGCUGCGAGCGAACAGGGACGAGCCCAGCACUGAAUCCCGAAGGCCCAGCCUUUAGGGAGAUGUGGUGUUUUGGAGUGCCCGAUCAACCCGGGACCCGCGCUUAGAGUCCAAGUCCAUCUUGAACGGGGCCAAGGUCCGUAGAGGGUGCCAGGCCCGUAGCUGACCUGCGCCGGGACCCGGGUGGGUUCCUCCUUAGAGUCGGGCUGCUUGAGAGUGCAGCCCUAAGCGGGUGGUAAACUCCAUCUAAGGCUAAAUGCAACCACGAGACCGAUAGAGAACAAGUACCGUGAGGGAAAGUUGAAAAGAACUUUGAAGAGAGAGUUCAAGAGUACGUGAAACCGCUCAGGGGUAAAUGGAAAAGACCCGAAACACCGAAAAGGGAGAUUCACGUCUUCUCGCCGGUGCCGGUCCCCGUUCGGGGGAUGGCUUCACGCCCCGUCCGGUUCGUCCGUGGCGGCGGGUGGGCUGCCUCCUUCGGGGACCCCGGUACCGCGGGGGACCGCACUUCUCCCCCAGUAGGACGUCGCGACCCGCUUCGCGGCGGUCUAACGGCCGGAAGAAAGCCUGGCAGGGAGCGCGCCACUCGUGGUGCGCCUCCAGCUCAGAUCUCCGGACCCGCGGCCGUCGGUCAGGGCGGUAGAAACGACAGCGAUGGGCCGCUCCUUGAGAGCGCCUCGGUCCCCCUGCAAGCCGGGGUCGGGAAGUCGGGACAGUGCCUCACGGUACGCCCGGCCCCCUUCCCCGACUGUUGGCAGGCGGGCACUCGAGCCGUUGCCCGGUACGCUCGUCGGCGGCGCUUCAGAUUCGGUCACUUAUCCAACCCGUCUUGAAACACGGACCAAGGAGUCUAGCGUGCGCGCGAGUCAUUGGGUGAAAAACCUAAAGGCGCAAUGAAAGUGUCAGGGCGCGCUCAGCGCGUCCGGCGGGAGGAUGGGAUCCCCGACCCCCGGGUCGGCUCCCCGCACUCCCGGGGCGUCUCGUUCCAAUUCUUUGGUUGAGACGCACCAGGAGCGCACACGCUGGGACCCGAAAGAUGGUGAACUAUGCCUGGCCAGGACGAAGCCAGGGGAAACCCUGGUGGAGGUCCGAAGCGAUUCUGACGUGCAAAUCGAUCGUCUGAGCUGGGUAUAGGGGCGAAAGACCAAUCGAACCAUCUAGUAGCUGGUUCCCUCUGAAGUUUCCCUCAGGAUAGCUGGCUCUCGAGAAGAGACGAGUCUCAUCCGGUAGAGCGAAUGAUUAGAGGUGAUGGGGUCGAAACGACUUCAACCUAUUCUCAAACUCCCAAUAGAUGAGAGCCCCGGCUUGCUUGAAAGUGAAGCCGCGGGAUUCGGAUCGGAGAGGCCAAGUGGGCCAAUUUUGGUAAGCAGAACUGGCGCUGUGGGAUGAACCAAACGCGGAGUUAAGGCGCCCGAUUCGACGCUCAUAUGAAACCAUGAAAGGCGUUGGUUGCUUAAAACAGCAGGACGGUGGUCAUGGAAGUCGAAAUCCGCUAAGGAGUGUGUAACAACUCACCUGCCGAAGCAACUAGCCCUGAAAAUGGAUGGCGCUGUAGCGUCGUGCCUAUACUCCGCCGUCAGCGGCAGAGCCGGCGGCCCCGCGAGGGGAGUAGCCGUUAAGCCCUGACGAGUAAGAGGGUCGCGGUGGUGAGCGCGGAAGGGUCUGGGCGCGAGCCCGCCUGGAGCCGCCACCGGUGCAGAUCUUGGUGGUAGUAGCAAAUACUCCAGCGAGGCCCUGGAGGACUGAUGUGGAGAAGGGUUUCUUGUGAACAGCUGUUGCACAAGAGUCAGUCGAUCCUAAGCCCUAGGAGAAAUCCGAAGCGAUGGUCUGCCGUUAACUCUUUUAACAUGUGUGCGCGUGCGCGAGAGAAAGCCUCGUCGUCGCCGGUGUGAGUGGCGUGGGGGGGGNAGACGUGCGCGGGUUGCGACGGUGCGCAGGGCGCCCCCCCGUUUGAGCGUCCGCCGGAGCGGCGAGCCCCUUUCUCUCUCUCCGCACGCGACUCAGUCAUGAGCCGGCACCGUCUGGGCGAAAGGGAAUCUGGUUCCUAUUCCAGAACCCGGCCGCGGAACCGCUCCAAUUCGGGCCCUCAUCCGAGGACUCGUCGGGGUGACCCAAAAUGACCCGGAGAAGCCGUAGGGAGGUCCGGGGAGAGUUGUCUCUUCUCUAUAAGCGUUCGAGUUCCCUGGAAGCCUCUAGGAGGGAGAUAGGGUUUGGAACGCGAAGAGCACCGCACUUACGGCGGUGUCCGGAUCUUCCCCUCGGACCUUGAAAAUCCGGGCGAGGGCCACGAGGAACACCGCGCCGGCUCGUACCCAUAUCCGCAGCAGGUCUCCAAGGUGAAUAGCCUCUAGUCGGUAGAAUAAUGUAGGUAAGGGAAGUCGGCAAACCCGAUCUGUAACUUCGGGACAAGGAUUGGCUCUGAGGAUCGUGGCGUGCCGGGCUUGGUCGGGAAGUGGAGCGGUGCCAACGUGCCGGGCCUGGGCGAGGAUAAGAGCGCUCGUCGCUUGGACCCUAGCUCGGUCCCGUGCCUUGGCCACCCACGGAUCUUCCUUGCUGCGAGCUACCGGGUGUCCGGUCGCCGGUCUCCCGGUGGACGGCCCGGAUUGCUCUUCGGCCGCCAUAGAACGAUCAGCUUAGAACUGGCACGGACCAAGGGAAUCCGACUGUCUAAUUAAAACAAAGCAUCGAGAUGGCCCCAACGGGUGAUGACUCGAUGUGAUUUCUGCCCAGUGCUCUGAAUGUCAACGUGAAGAAAUUCAAGCAAGCGCGGGUUAACGGCGGGAGUAACUAUGACUCUCUUAAGGUAGCCAAAUGCCUCGUCAUCCAAUUAGUGACGCGCAUGAAUGGAUUAACGAGAUUCCCUCUGUCCCUACCUACUAUCUAGCGAAACCACUGUCAAGGGAACGGGCUUGAAAAAAUCAGCGGGGAAAGAAGACCCUUUUGAGCUUGACUCUAGUCUGGUACUGUAAGGAGACAUGAGAGGUGUAGCAUAAGUGGGAGGCGGUUUUGCCGUCGAUAGUGAAAUACCACUACUUUCAUAGUUUCCUUACUUACUUGGUGAGGCGGAAGGCGUCCGUCGGAGUGUCUGCACUCCGGCGAGACGGUAUUCUCGCACCAAGCGCCAAGGGUUGCCGGCGGCCGGUCGGACGUGGUGAGGCCCGCCGCGGCCGCUUCCGGGCGGUCCCGCGGCGUGCGUCGUCGCUGCGGUUUCGGUCGCGCUGUCCGGCAACACACUCCCUAGCGUGAUCCGAUCCAAGGAAAUUAUCAGGAGGGGAGUUCGGCUGGGGCGGUACAUCUGUCAAAUAAUAACGCAGGUGUCCUACGGUCAGCUCAGCGAGGACAGAAACCUCGCGUAGAGCAAAAGGGCAAAUGCUGGCUUGAUCCCGAUGCUCAGUGCGCAUAGGGACUGCGAAAGCACGGCCUAUCGAUCCUUUUGGCUUGAAGAGUUUUCAGCAAGAGGUGUCAGAAAAGUUACCAUAGGGAUAACUGGCUUGUGGCGGCCAAGCGUUCAUAGCGACGUCGUCGUUUGAUCCUUCGAUGUCGGCUCUUCCUAUCAUUGCGAAGCAGAAUUCGCCAAGCGUCGGAUUGUUCACCCGCUAAUAGGGAACGUGAGCUGGGUUUAGACCGUCGUGAGACAGGUUAGUUUUACCCUACUGAUGUUAAAAAAGUCGUUGCCAUAGUAAUCCUGCUUAGUACGAGAGGAACCGCAGGUUCGGACAAUUGGUACGCGCACUCGGUUGACCCGCCGCUGGUGCGACGCUACCAUCCGAGGGAUUAGGCCUGAACGCCUCUAAGACCGAAUCCCGACUAGAAGCAACGAUAUAACUACGGGUCCCGUGAGUCGAAAGGCUCAACUCUAUGUGACUCUAUUAGGUCGGUUAGCGAUAACCGUCCGCAUGAGCCCUGUGGCCCGGUCGCCCUCGCGCGGAAGACCGCCGGUACAUUCCGGUCGGCUCUCCCCGGUGACCGGGCGUAACAUGGUUCAACCCCCUCUUAACGGGGGGGAGAUCGAUGUCGGGACCCUGAAUCGUCUGUAGACGACUUCUUCUUCGGGCAGGGUGCUGUACUCGGGAGAGCAGUUGUCACGCUG